UACGAAGGGGGCUAGCGUUGUUCGGAUUUACUGGGCGUAAAGCGCACGUAGGCGGAUUGGUCAGUUAGGGGUGAAAUCCCAGAGCUCAACUCUGGAACUGCCUUUAAUACUGCCAAUCUCGAGUCCGGAAGAGGUGAGUGGAACUCCUAGUGUAGAGGUGGAAUUCGUAGAUAUUAGGAAGAACACCAGUGGCGAAGGCGGCUCACUGGUCCGGUACUGACGCUGAGGUGCGAAAGCGUGGGGAGCAAACAGG
RNAcentral lists this ribosomal RNA (253 nucleotides) under uncultured bacterium. RNAcentral's name for it is "partial 16S ribosomal RNA". It matches the Rfam family "Bacterial small subunit ribosomal RNA", at positions 524 to 776 of the family's 1533-position model. The record is from RNAcentral.